Molecule: ribosomal RNA, 497 nt
Filed under: uncultured bacterium
Lineage: Bacteria
Description: partial 16S ribosomal RNA
Rfam family: Bacterial small subunit ribosomal RNA
Source: RNAcentral
GACGAACGCUGGCGGCGUGCCUAAUACAUGCAAGUAGAACGCUGAAGAGAGGAGCUUGCUCUUCUUGGAUGAGUUGCGAACGGGUGAGUAACGCGUAGGUAACCUGCCUGGUAGCGGGGGAUAACUAUUGGAAACGAUAGCUAAUACCGCAUAACAACAGUUGUUGCAUGACAGCUGUUUAAAAGAUGCAAUUGCAUCACUACCAGAUGGACCUGCGUUGUAUUAGCUAGUUGGUGAGGUAACGGCUCACCAAGGCGACGAUACAUAGCCGACCUGAGAGGGUGGUCCGCCCCCACGGGACCUGGGCCACGCCCCGGACUCCUCCGGAGGCCGCCAGAGGGAAUUCUCCGCAAUUGGGGGAACCCUGACCGAGCAACGCCGCGUGAGUGAAGAAGGUUUUCGGAUCGUAAAGCUCUGUUGUAAGAGAAGAACGGGUGUGAGAGUGGAAAGUUCACACUGUGACGGUAUCUUACCAGAAAGGGACGGCUAACUACGUG